UAUUAACCAAUGACAGAAAAGCAUGAUACCCCCUCCACACCCCCCCGCCAACACACACUCCCCGUCCUUUUCCCUCCCCCCGGCUGUCUCCAUCCUUCCCGCUUCCCGGAUUAAGAGUGCCCGGCCCCGGACGGAGACUUUACGGCGCAUACAAACACCUAGAGCCGCUAAAAUCGCCAAAACCCGCAGGUUAAACCUUUACAGGGAGAUGAAGUAAAGGAGCAAACAGUGUGCAGUUAAACUUAAGGUCACUCACUCCACACUGGAAACCAUCUGACUGGUUGCAUCACAUCAGGUAUGGAGAUCCCAGAGCACUGGACUGCAAGAAGAAUGCAGAAGUUGUAGACUCAGCCAGCUCCAUCAUGAUCACAAGCCUCUCCAUCCUCAAAAGACAUCUUCAAAAGGCGGUGCCUCAAGAAGACAGCAUCCUUCAGGAAGAAACCUACCCACCCAGGACAUGCCCUCUUCUCAUUGCUACCCUCAGGGAGGAGCCUGAAGACACACACUCAACAUUUUAGGAACAGCUUCUUCCCCUCCACUAUCUGAUUCCUGAAUGGACAAUGAACCCAUGAACAUUACCUCACUAUUUGCUCUCUUUUUGCAUUACUUACUUAUCUUUUAUAUCUCUUCUUGUAAAUGAUAGUAACCUUUUAUUUAUUGCACUGUACUGCUGCCACAAAACAACAAAUUUCUUGACAAAACUGACUGUUAAUAAAUCUGACUCUGAUUCUGA
Long non-coding RNA from Hypanus sabinus (Atlantic stingray), 733 nucleotides. RefSeq lists it as uncharacterized. The record is from RefSeq and is a predicted model, not a curated record. The transcript is spliced from 2 exons. NCBI's taxonomy places the organism in Eukaryota, Metazoa, Chordata, Chondrichthyes, Myliobatiformes, Dasyatidae.